Molecule: ribosomal RNA, 1374 nt
Filed under: Triticum aestivum (bread wheat)
Lineage: Eukaryota; Viridiplantae; Streptophyta; Magnoliopsida; Poales; Poaceae
Description: partial small subunit ribosomal RNA
Source: RNAcentral
AUGGAGGGGCUAGACGUCGACGACGUCUUCCACCACUACCGGCUGAGCCCUACGGAAGUGGAGGCCGUCACCUACUACCUGCCACGCCUCCUCUCCGGCGAGACGCUGCAUGCCGUCGACAAGCUCAUCCACCGCGUCGACAUCACCGGCUGCGAGCCCAAGGAUCUGGCCGCCCGAUACGCGCCCGUGCCGCAGGCCAUGAGCAGCGGCGACCGGUUCUUCUUCACCACGUGCAAGAGCAAGAACGGGAGCAAGCUCCAGAGCGUGCGCAGCGCCGGCGGCGGCACCUGGAGCAUCCAGAAAACCUCGGAGAUUAGCCACGCGGGAGUCAAGGUCGGCGAGGUCAAGAACCUGUCCUUCAAGAAGAAGGGCAAGUCGACAGGCUGGGUCAUGGAGGAAUACCGGUGCCUGCUGCCGGAGGCCACCGUCUCCGACGGGGUGAAGGUGUUCAGCAAGAUGCACUUGGCUCAGCAUGCUCCUGACGCGGCCCGCCAGGAAUCGGAGGCGUACAAGCUUCAGCAACAGCAACCAGAGGCCGUGACCCCGAGCACGCACGCGCAGAAGAGGCCAGCGACCGCUGCCGCCGUUGAUCCUCAACCGGCACGCCCCAAGAAGAGGACGUGCGUUGCCGUCCCCGUCCCGGCACCUGGAGCAUCGGCCACACCGUCGUUCUUGAUGUAUGAUGAGGCAGCCAGAGCAAUGCAUGGCCCGCUGCCUCACACCAACUUCCCUGUUCAGUAUGCACAAGCAUCAUGCGAGUCCACUACAACAUCCAGCCACUCCGACGUUGCUCAAGCUCCUGAGAUUUCCUCCCAGCUAGAUGUGAUGGAGUCCACCCAAUCAGAAGAGGCUGGCUCGAGCAUUGCAAGGAGCACAUCUGAAGAGGAUGUGUUUGAGCCAUUGGGGCCUAUUUCCGAUUUGCCGGAUUGGGAGGAAGAUGGUUUUGAUCUUGAAGAACUAAUGAGAAUGAUGGAAGACGACCCAAUUGAAGUUGAGCCGGUCACUGGAGCCAACACUGGCGUGGAGAUGGGCCAACAGGAACCUCUGUACCUGGAUGCCUUGGACCAAGGCGUGCUGGAGGGCAUGCUGCAGUCUGAUGACCCUUACCCAAUGUGGAGAUCAGAGGAUCAGGCCAUGCACAACCCUGCCUUCCAUGAUGACAAGGAGAAGAGGUACAAUGCCGCGUCGGAUCUUGACGCUCCAUCGCUUCAGGGACAGGACCACUUGUUCAAACCGCGGCCGUGCUCCUUCGAUCCAUUUGAAGCAGCAUGGAAGGCCGAAGAGGCGCUCGAGAAGGAGAAGAGGUGCAAUGCCGCGGCCAAUCUUCACGCUGGAGGGCACAGCAACUUCUUCUCGCCUGCAAGUGUCUACUAA